UACGUAGGGUGCGAGCGUUAAUCGGAAUUACUGGGCGUAAAGCGUGCGCAGGCGGUUUUGUAAGCCAGAUGUGAAAGCCCCGGGCUUAACCUGGGAAUGGCAUUUGGGACUGCAAGGCUUGAGUGCGGCAGAGGAGACUGGAAUUCCUGGUGUAGCAGUGAAAUGCGUAGAUAAUCAGGAGGAAUACCGAUGCGAAGGCAGGUCUCUGGGC
This 211-nucleotide ribosomal RNA is filed under the name uncultured bacterium. RNAcentral's name for it is "partial 16S ribosomal RNA". It matches the Rfam family "Bacterial small subunit ribosomal RNA", at positions 524 to 734 of the family's 1533-position model. The record is from RNAcentral.